This is an RNA transcript of Meriones unguiculatus (Mongolian gerbil), 1593 nucleotides long. It is a transcript of the gene named zinc finger CCHC-type containing 10, with no coding region annotated. The transcript is spliced from 5 exons. The record is from RefSeq and is a predicted model, not a curated record. Lineage: Eukaryota; Metazoa; Chordata; Mammalia; Rodentia; Muridae.
UUGGUUUGAGCCAGUCUGGCCCCGCCCAGGGCCGCGGAGGUCUUUAAGGUCCCGCCUACCCUUCGGAGUUUCCCAAAAGCCCGUGCGUGGCAUCGAGUUCCGACUGUUCCAAGAUGGCGACUCCCAUGCAUCGGCUCAUAGCUCGGAGACUAGCUGAAGCCAAUAAGCAACAUGUAAGAUGUCAGAAAUGCUUGGAAUUUGGACAUUGGACUUACGAAUGCAAAGGGAAAAGAAAGUACCUACACAGGCCUUCAAGAACAGCAGAGCUGAAAAAGGCUCUAAAAGAAAAAGAAAACAGAUUAUUGCAGCAAAGCAUCGGAGAGACCAACGUAGAAAGGAAAACCAAGAAGAAGAGGUCUAAGAGUGUCACAAGUUCCAGUACCUCUAGCAGUGACAGUUCGGCCAGUGAGUCUUCAUCCGAGAGUGAGACAUCUGCCUCAUCCUCCUCAGAGGACAGUGACUCAGAUGACAGCACCUCUAGCUCCUCCUCUUCAGCUUCCUCCUCCUCCUCCUCCUCUUCGGACUCCAGCUCCUCCUCCUCCAGCAGCAGCAGCAGCAGCAGCAGCAGCACAGAGAGCAGUUCUGAUGAUGAGCUGCCAAAGAAGAGGAAAAAAAAGUAGAGCUCUCUGUACACAGGGCCAAUGGACCAAAAGCAUUUGUGACUCACAGAGGGACUGAAAACAUGCUCAUGCAAGCAGCUUAUAUCUGGUCAGACUUGUUAGAAUCCAGAACUUUGUGUGUGCAUCCGUGCUGAAGCCCUGGAGCUGGAGUCGCAGAAGAGAAUGAGCGGCCUGGUGUGGGUGCUGGGAACUGAGCCCACAGCUUCUGGAAGAUCGGCAGUGCUCUAAACUAAUCCUCCCCACCCCCCACAUUCUUCUUGCUUGUUUGUUUUGGUCCUAGGGCUGAACAUAGUGAUGUGAAUGCAAAGAAGACUAUAAAAUAGAAUUAUGUAUCUACGUGGAAACAUGCCAAAUGCGGCUACAUGUCCUCAUCAGCCCCUUAGCGGCCAUUUCCCUCCCGUGAUUGUCCACUGAUGGCUGGCUGGUUUAUGUCUCAUUGCUCUGGUACUUUGGAGGCUUCCUGUUUGUUUUAUGUCUAGCCUACCGCUGACAGCGCAGGGUCAAGAACCUUUAACUGACUCCACGUUACUUCUAAUCUCUGAGCCAUCUCUCAGUCUCCUCCCGCCAUCUCCCAAACUCCUCCUUGGAGUUGACCCCCUUUCCAUGUAAUAGGGGCCGAUAAGAAGAGUCUAAGGGAACUGGAAACUUUUCUUUCAAGCAGGAGACACUCUCAGCCUUUUGUGUCCACCGAUUAACAGUAGGUGCGUGGUGGUUUAUUUUCGAAUGUAAAACUGUUUCAAAAGUGAAAUGCAGAAGUUGUGUAUGCCCCCGUGAGUAACCGCUCACCCAUGCCUCUGUAAGCAACGCUAAAAUAAACUCAUCAGGCCUCACACCUCCCCCCAAAAAGGGCCAUGAGAGUCAGAGCGGGGACUGGUUGGGAAGAGAAGAGCAGAUAGUGAGAGAGGAGGGGGAGGGGGACAAAGGAAGGGAUGCGGUUGAAUAGGAUCCACAUAUAUCCAGGAAUGAAAAGGUC